RNAcentral lists this ribosomal RNA (451 nucleotides) under uncultured bacterium. RNAcentral's name for it is "bacterial SSU rRNA". It matches the Rfam family "Bacterial small subunit ribosomal RNA", at positions 354 to 796 of the family's 1533-position model. The record is from RNAcentral.
GUGGGGAAUAUUGGACAAUGGGGGGAACCCUGAUCCAGCCAUGCCGCGUGUGUGAAGAAGGCCUUUUGGUUGUAAAGCACUUUAAGCGAGGAGGAGGCUACCGAGAUUAAUACUCUUGGAUAGUGGACGUUACUCGCAGAAUAAGCACCGGCUAACUCUGUGCCAGCAGCCGCGGUAAUACAGAGGGUGCAAGCGUUAAUCGGAUUUACUGGGCGUAAAGCGCGCGUAGGUGGCCAAUUAAGUCAAAUGUGAAAUCCCCGAGCUUAACUUGGGAAUUGCUUUCGAUACUGGUUGGCUAGAGUAUGGGAGAGGAUGGUAGAAUUCCAGGUGUAGCGGUGAAAUGCGUAGAGAUCUGGAGGAAUACCGAUGGCGAAGGCAGCCAUCUGGCCUAAUACUGACACUGAGGUGCGAAAGCAUGGGGAGCAAACAGGAUUAGAAACCCGAGUAGUCC